UGGGGAAUAUUGCACAAUGGGCGGAAGCCUGAUGCAGCGACGCCGCGUGAGGGAUGACGGCCUUCGGGUUGUAAACCUCUUUCAGUAGGGAAGAAGCGUAAGUGACGGUACCUGCAGAAGAAGCGCCGGCUAACUACGUGCCAGCAGCCGCGGUAAUACGUAGGGCGCAAGCGUUAUCCGGAAUUAUUGGGCGUAAAGAGCUCGUAGGCGGUUUGUCGCGUCUGCCGUGAAAGUCCGGGGCUCAACUCCGGAUCUGCGGUGGGUACGGGCAGACUAGAGGUAUGCAGGGGAGAAUGGAAUUCCUGGUGUAGCGGUGAAAUGCGCAGAUAUCAGGAGGAACACCGGUGGCGAAGGCGGUUCUCUGGGCAUUACCUGACGCUGAGGAGCGAAAGUGUGGGGAGCGAAC
This 406-nucleotide ribosomal RNA is filed under the name uncultured bacterium. RNAcentral describes it as "bacterial SSU rRNA". It matches the Rfam family "Bacterial small subunit ribosomal RNA", at positions 355 to 773 of the family's 1533-position model. The record is from RNAcentral.